AGCAGCCGCGGUAAUUCCAGCUCCAGUAGCGUAUAUUAAAGUUGUUGCAGUUAAAAAGCUCGUAGUUGAACUUCAGGCCUGUCCAGAUGGUCCGCCUUAAUUGGUGUGUACUGUCCUUGGGUGGGUCCUACCUUCUGGCGAAGCGGCAUGGCCUUAGUUGGUUGUGGUGGGGAACCAGGACUUUUUACUGUGAAAAAAUUAGAGUGUCCAAAGCAGGCAUAAUAUGCUCGAAUACAUUAGCAUGGAAUAAUGGAAUAGGACGAUGGUUCUAUUUUGUUGGUUCUAGGACCGUUGUAAUGAUUAAUAGGGAUAGUUGGGGGGCAUUAGUAUUCAAUUGUCAGAGGUGAAAUUCUUGGAUUUAUUGAAGACUAACUACUGCGAAAGCAUUUGCCAAGGAUGUUUUCAUUAAUCAAGAACGAAAGUUAGGGGAUCGAAGACGAUCAGAUACCGUCGUAGUCUUAACCAUAAACUAUGCCGACUAGGAAUCAGACGAUGUUAAUUUUUUUAAUGACUCGUUUGG
RNAcentral lists this unclassified non-coding RNA (520 nucleotides) under uncultured Paraglomus. RNAcentral's name for it is "bacterial SSU rRNA". It matches the Rfam family "Eukaryotic small subunit ribosomal RNA", at positions 569 to 1083 of the family's 1831-position model. The record is from RNAcentral. Lineage: Eukaryota; Fungi; Glomeromycota; Glomeromycetes; Paraglomerales; Paraglomeraceae.